This 253-nucleotide ribosomal RNA is filed under the name uncultured bacterium. RNAcentral's name for it is "partial 16S ribosomal RNA". It matches the Rfam family "Bacterial small subunit ribosomal RNA", at positions 524 to 776 of the family's 1533-position model. The record is from RNAcentral.
UACGUAGGGUGCAAGCGUUGUCCGGAAUUAUUGGGCGUAAAGAGCUCGUAGGCGGUUUGUCGCGUCUGCUGUGAAAAUCCAGGGCUUAACCCUGGACCUGCAGUGGGUACGGGCAGACUGGAGUGCGGUAGGGGAGAUCGGAAUUCCGGGUGUAGCGGUGAAAUGCGUAGAUAUCCGGAGGAACACCGGUGGCGAAGGCGGCUUUCUGGACCGACACUGACGCUGAGGCGCGAAAGCUAGGGGAGCAAACGGG